RNAcentral lists this ribosomal RNA (377 nucleotides) under uncultured bacterium. Its description in RNAcentral is "bacterial SSU rRNA". It matches the Rfam family "Bacterial small subunit ribosomal RNA", at positions 359 to 758 of the family's 1533-position model. The record is from RNAcentral.
AUUGGGAUGGAGAACUCUGACCGCGACGCCGCGUGAGGGAGGAAGGCCUUCGGGUUGUAAACCUCUUUCAGUAGGGAAGAAGCGAAAGUGACGGUACCUACAGAAGAAGCACCGGCUAACUAUGUGCCAGCAGCCGCGGUAAUACAUAGGGUGCAAGCGUUGUCCGGAAUUAUUGGGCGUAAAGAGCUCGUAGGUGGUUCGAUACGUCGGAUGUGAAAAUCAGGGGCUCAACCCCUGACCUGCAUCCGAUACGGUCGAGCUAGAGUUUGGUAGGGGAGACUGGAAUUCCUGGUGUAGCGGUGGAAUGCGCAGAUAUCAGGAGGAACACCGAUGGCGAAGGCAGGUCUCUGGGCCAAUACUGACACUGAGGAGCGAAA